ACGUAAGAGAACAAUCUUAUGUUAUGAUAAAAUGAAAGAUAUAUGCUGAGACAUAUAGAUCAAAAUCCAUCCAUGCUUCUGUCUGUAUUAACGUUUUAUUUUAUAACUCUGAAAUGAGUAGAAAAAAGUCUAGAAUUACACUUUUACUUCAAACAAAACAAAGAAACAUGGAUAACAUGUCUUGGCAUAAAUCGAAAAUUUCAUUUUGGUUAAUAACUGUUGGAUUUGACCUAGAAGUGUGUCUGAAGUUCCAAAAUGGAUCUCUAUCCAGUGAUCCAUGAUUUCUGCUGUGUCACACUUUAAUACUUCCUCCUUACUUCCUGUUUCCCUCAACAUUCAGCUAAACAGUAAGCUCAGGUUUGCUCUGUGUGAAAUGUGUCCAAGCUCAAGUCACAAAAGAAGACAUCAAGAAAUAAGAGAGUCGUAAUGGGUUUGGAGAAACUGUGACACUUGUCCUCUUUCUGUCUUCUGUCCUGAAACUGAUCCCAUGACAUGUCCGUGAUCAAAUGACAGAGCAAAGAAAUCUUUCAGCAGUUUUCUUCAUUUGCUUGUGCUCCCCAUUUCUCACUCACAUCCCACGGUCUGUGCUUAGGUGUGAUUUGCUUUUCUUUAUUGCUUGUGUUCAUUUUGUUUCAUUUCAUGUUGUAUUUAAGUUCUAUGCUGUAGGGCCUAGUGACUCAGCAUUUUCCUUCCACAUGUGAUGUUAUGCAAAACAUGCUAAAUAAAGCUAAGAGUUUUGUUGAUGC
Molecule: long non-coding RNA, 746 nt
Organism: Sinocyclocheilus anshuiensis
Lineage: Eukaryota; Metazoa; Chordata; Actinopteri; Cypriniformes; Cyprinidae
Exons: 2
Source: RefSeq, a predicted model, not a curated record